Amborella trichopoda is the source of this 1750-nucleotide long non-coding RNA. RefSeq lists it as uncharacterized. NCBI's taxonomy places the organism in Eukaryota, Viridiplantae, Streptophyta, Magnoliopsida, Amborellales, Amborellaceae. The record is from RefSeq and is a predicted model, not a curated record.
AAGUGUUUUUGUGGAGCUUGAGAAAUUCUUAUUACUGUUCCAACUUUCGUGUUUGAUAAAAGAUGAGAACUUCAAAUCAAAACUUCAAUUUACUGUUCAUCUCCUUAAGUCCCUUUGUAACAAAAAAAAAAAAAAAGGUUCUGAUCGCAAGGUCGGAACUCAAAAUUGGAAGUUCGUAAGUUCCUGUCAUUUGAUAACCCUACCCUCUUUUCUCUUCUUCCCUGCUGAGCACUCCUCUCUUCGCCGCUAAGCACCCCUUUGUUCGUUCAUAGAUUUUCCACCGAAUAAAGAUUUUCGUUCUGAAAACCCUAAAAAUCCCCUUCUAUUAUUCCCUGCGAAGCCAGUGAUCCAUUUUUCUUCCACAGCUCAAGUUCUUAGUCAUGGCAUAUGAAGAUGAUCCUUACCAUGAUGAGGAUGGAGAGCCAUUGAUGGAUCCGGACAUGGGUUCAGAACCAAAAGAAGAAGAUUGGGAACGGAGCGAUCACCCACGCCAAUCAUGGAUUCUGGUGAAGAAGAUGAGCCUAAAGCUAAACCUAGAAAGAGGCUUAUAAAGAAGAGUAACAAGGAAAGCUCGCCUGAAAAUGAUUUUUUUUGGCUGAUGAAGUUCAGGAAAAUGAGGAUUUUUCAGCUGGCAAGUUGAGGGGAAAGGAGGGAUCGAGCAACAAGAUAAAACCAAAGGAAGAAAGGGUGCAAAAGUUGCUGAUUGAUGUGGAGCAGUUUGACUGGAAUAACAACUUACAAAAAGUGGCUUGGGGAAGGUCAUUAUGUUUUUGUCACGAUCUGAAGAAGAGACCACAGCAAAUAGGAAGCUGGCAAAGGAAUUGGUUGAUAAAUGGGUAUGUCAUGGUUCCCUAGUUCAUUUGUUUUUACACCUAGAAAUUUUGAGGAAAUGUUGCUUUCAUGAUUUAGAUUCUUCAGGUGUUUUGCAUCGCACACAUUCUUUUUUGUCUUCCAUCUUGGACGAGUGUGUGGGUGAUCUCAUUUAGUUAGUGAAAUUUUGUUCUUUAGAUUGUGUCUUUUUAUAGAAAUGCACAAACGUUCAGCAUUUUGAAUGUCUUCAAGAAGGCAUUCAAAGUGAUGCUGUCAACCACAUGCUUCAGUAUCUAAAACAAAAUGGAACAAAGCAAAAUUAAAGGCUCAAUUUGGUUUGAGCGUGCAUUUUUGCUGCCAUAUACUGUUAUUGUAGCACAUGCAUCCAAACGCAACUCAGGGCUGUUUUGGGGUAGAGGUGUGCGUGUGUGUACAUGUGUUCAUGUGACUAUCUAUUUUGAAGGGUUCAAAGGGCCAUAUAGUUGGUCCUCUGUGAAUAAUAACCGUUUGCCUGUAUUAUGCAUGGAUUGAUGGUGAGUAAUACACCUCGAGCUUUUUGGGUAUAUUGAUAAGGAGUUUACUUAUGUGACAAAGUACAGAGGCAAGUCUUUGCUUAUAUACUUCAAUGAUUAGAGAAGAUAUUUGGCACGGAUGCUUCAGAUUGAAGUAAUGUGGAAGGGGGAAGAAAUAAGUGUCAAUGUCUUCCUCAAGGGAUCUCAGCAUCUCAAGACUGUCUUCUAAAGCAUCUAGUUUGUCCUUUCAUUAAAGUUCUAUUUGUUGUCUAAAUCUUUCUUCUUUCUUUUUUUAAUGUUGGUAACAUUGUGGGACAAAUAACAAUGUUGUUUUAUUGUUGAAUGAGAUAUAUUUUUGAGGUUGGGAUAUGGAUGUAUCAGUGGUGAAUGUAUGUCUAAGUAGUAUUCAAGCUAUUAUAGGUUAUUAU